CAAGUUUAGUAGCUCGUUCACCUGCACGGCGUGCACUUGUGUAUUUAGUCGCUUUCAAUCCCGGGUGUAGUGAUUCACACAACUUACGCACAUGGAUUUAGUUUUUGUUUUCACUAGCUGGAUAUGUUCCACUAUUUGUUGAUUCACCAAUCACACGCACUUAAAAAAGCACUGCAUCAGCACGUUGUCUUGGCUUGGCACUGGUUUGUUUAGUUGCACGUGCCAAGUCUUGUUUCAUUGGGUCCUUAGUUAUGCAUAGGUAGAAUAGAAAAGCAUAGAUUAAGUGCACAACACAACCUCCGCCAUUUUGCUUCCAUUAUGUUUUGUAUUAUUUACACAUAGUCGACGCUCACAAACCGUUUCUAUCCAACGAAUCCUACGUUUCCACCUCUUCACACAAUUUCCAAACGCCCCAUCAAUCCUAAUGACCCCUACUGAAUAUCAACUAAUGAAUAAAUAUUUUUUUUCAGGAACAUUGUAAUCAAAUCUGAUGUGAUUUCUGUACGUGAUGCCUGUUAGACUUAAGUUGAAAGCUGUCGUCACUUUGUUAUUCAAACGCCUUUUUUUUUUCGUUCUCGUUUCUCUGCGUUUAGGGAGGGCAAUCUCUGUGGGCCGAAGAGGAUACUGGACAUCGGGGAUCACUGCCGGAGUCAACAGGAUCAUCGCCAAUUAUUAUCCGGUACUAUUCUUAAACAUUUAAGUGUCUAAUUGUGUUUUUUUUUUGUAUUAAAAGGAAGGCCGACAGCACCACCGAAUAGGACGGCUGGAGUGCUGGACAACGAGGAUUGCCGCCAUGACCAUUGCCCAGAGUUGCCAAGAGGGCUUGCAUCAACACCGAAGAGGACUAAGGAUCACCUACAGGGCCAUCGGCCAGAGUUGCUAAGAGGGCCCACAUCACACCUGAAGAGGACUGCAAGACAACGAGAAUCGCCACCAAAUCGUCGCGCAGUAUUUUCAAGAGGGAUCCAACACCACCGAAGAGGACCAUAGGACAACGAGGAUCGCUGCAGGAGCAACCAGAAUCAUCGCCAAGGAUUCUCUGGUGUAAGCCUUAAACAUUAAAAUGUCUAAUUCUGUUUUUUUUUUUUUGUAUUUAUAGGGGGCUCAAAUCACCACCGAAGAGGACUACAGGAGAUAGAACAACGAGGAUCGCCACCAUGACCGUUGCCCAGAGUUGCCAAAGGGCUCACAUUACCACCGAAGAGGACCAUAGGACAACGAAGAUCGCCAUCAUGACAGUCGCCCGCAGUUGCCAGGAGGGCUUGCAUCAACGCCGAAGAGGACUACUGGGCAAUGAGGAUCGCCACCAAAAUCGUCGCCAAAAGGGUCCGCAACACCACCGAGGAGGACGGAUGGACGUCGGGGAUCGCCGCAGGAGCAACCAGUAUCAUCGCCAAGGGUUCUCAGGUGUAAGCCCUUAAAAAUUUAAGUGUCUAAUCAUGUUUUGUGUGUGUGUGUGAAUCUAGGAGGGCACAGAGCACCACAGAAGACGAUUACCGAACAUCGAGGAUCGCCGCCGUACAUCGAGGAUCGCCGCCCAGCCCCGAGAUUCACGCCUAUUAUUAGGAUGGAAAAGCAAAAGAUGGUAUGGUUGAGUAUUGCCAAAUCGGUAUUCGCUUACUUUAUUUCAUACUGUGAUUUGUGUGUUUAUUACAAAUAUGUACCUUUAUUCCAUAUUCCCUACCAUUAUUACCAUCACGUAUUUUGGCUUAUGGUUUUACUUUACAUUGAGCACCCAAAUUCACUACAGCACUAUCUCACGGUACGUUCGUUGUUUGUGUUAACUUUUAUACACCCAGUAGGGAUGUUUGUUUUUAGAUAAUGCAACCCAGCUUAUAUCGGUAUCUCACUUAGUCUUCGGUUGGUGUAGGUUUACUAACACUAAUUUAAACACUAACACUAAAUUGCUUUCAGAACAACCAUGAAAACAAAAUAAAUUGAUCAACUUUG
This is a long non-coding RNA of Daphnia magna, 1950 nucleotides long. RefSeq lists it as uncharacterized. The transcript is spliced from 7 exons. The record is from RefSeq and is a predicted model, not a curated record. Lineage: Eukaryota; Metazoa; Arthropoda; Branchiopoda; Diplostraca; Daphniidae.